AUACUUACCUUAAGAUGCCAGAGGAGAUCAAGAAGUCCUACUGGCCGGACAUGCACCUUCACGAAGAGGAAUGCUAUGCAUUUAGAUCCAAAUGGAUCAUAUCAUUGAUGUAAGCUUCCUCGGCAAUUGCACAUACAUGCGAAGGGUGUGUCUGCUGACGUCUCGUUUCCUCGUUUCGGGGUUUUCUGGUUUUCUGGGAGACUCUGGGGCCCUUUUUUACUUCUGCCAGGAGAAGGAUGGCACUGAGUACAAUCAGUGCUGAGGGAGCUGGGGUUCAUCAGGUGAGUCUCAAUGAAUUGUUGCCUUUGAAAGGGUUUACCGCGCUCUUCUUAAUCACUGCAGCUGUUGAUUUUCUUAGGCUCCUUUCUUUGAAAGAGGCUUUUGAAAAGGGUUUAGCGGCUGUCAGUGGUUAAGAUGUGGUGGAUUCUUCUGGAGGCGCGUUCAAUUUUUCUUUGAAAGGUUGGACAAAACGCUUUGUUGAGAUGUCCUCUUUAGGGAGGAGAAGCCUGAUGGAUCUUGGUAGAGACGGGUGGGUCUUAUAAUUUUUGAUUUAUCCCUCA
RNAcentral lists this small nuclear RNA (560 nucleotides) under Zygosaccharomyces rouxii. Its description in RNAcentral is "U1 RNA". It matches the Rfam family "Yeast U1 spliceosomal RNA". Rfam says of the family: U1 is a small nuclear RNA (snRNA) component of the spliceosome (involved in pre-mRNA splicing). Lineage: Eukaryota; Fungi; Ascomycota; Saccharomycetes; Saccharomycetales; Saccharomycetaceae. The record is from RNAcentral.